This 254-nucleotide ribosomal RNA is filed under the name uncultured bacterium. Its description in RNAcentral is "partial 16S ribosomal RNA". It matches the Rfam family "Bacterial small subunit ribosomal RNA", at positions 524 to 776 of the family's 1533-position model. The record is from RNAcentral.
UACGGGGGGAGCAAGCGUUGUUCGGAUUUACUGGGCGUAAAGGGCGCGUAGGCGGUCAGCACAAGUCAGUUGUGAAAUCUCCGGGCUUAACUCGGAAAGGUCAACUGAUACUGUGCGACUAGAGUGCAGAAGGGGCAACUGGAAUUCUCGGUGUAGCGGUGAAAUGCGUAGAUAUCGAGAGGAACACCUGCGGCGAAGGCGGGUUGCUGGGCUGACACUGACGCUGAUGCGCGAAAGCCAGGGGAGCAAACAGG